RNAcentral lists this ribosomal RNA (777 nucleotides) under uncultured bacterium. Its description in RNAcentral is "bacterial SSU rRNA". It matches the Rfam family "Bacterial small subunit ribosomal RNA", at positions 8 to 796 of the family's 1533-position model. The record is from RNAcentral.
AGAGUUUGAUCAUGGCUCAGGACGAACGCUGGCGGCGUGCUUAACACAUGCAAGUCGAACGGUGACGGAGGAGCUUGCUCCUCCUGAUCAGUGGCGAACGGGUGAGUAACACGUGAGCAAUCUGCCCCUGACUCUGGGAUAACCUCGGGAAACCGAAGCUAAUACCGGAUACGAAGCGCGAAGGCAUCUUCAGCGCUUGGAGAGAAUUUCGGUCAGGGAUGAGCUCGCGGCCUAUCAGUUAGUUGGUGAGGUAACGGCUCACCAAGACGACGACGGGUAGCCGGCCUGAGAGGGUGACCGGCCACACUGGGACUGAGACACGGCCCAGACUCCUACGGGAGGCAGCAGUGGGGAAUAUUGCACAAUGGGCGCAAGCCUGAUGCAGCAACGCCGCGUGAGGGAUGACGGCCUUCGGGUUGUAAACCUCUUUUAGCAGGGAAGAAGCGAAAGUGACGGUACCUGCAGAAAAAGCACCGGCUAACUACGUGCCAGCAGCCGCGGUAAUACGUAGGGUGCAAGCGUUGUCCGGAAUUAUUGGGCGUAAAGAGCUCGUAGGCGGUUUGUCGCGUCUGCUGUGAAAACGCGAGGCUCAACCUCGCGCCUGCAGUGGGUACGGGCAAACUAGAGUGCGGUAGGGGAGAUUGGAAUUCCUGGUGUAGCGGUGGAAUGCGCAGAUAUCAGGAGGAACACCGAUGGCGAAGGCAGAUCUCUGGGCCGUAACUGACGCUGAGGAGCGAAAGCAUGGGGAGCGAACAGGAUUAGAUACCCUAGUAGUCC